This 1230-nucleotide ribosomal RNA is filed under the name uncultured bacterium. RNAcentral describes it as "partial 16S ribosomal RNA". It matches the Rfam family "Bacterial small subunit ribosomal RNA", at positions 1 to 1197 of the family's 1533-position model. The record is from RNAcentral.
GAWGGCGAGUCGCAUGCUCCGGCCGCCAUGGCGGCCGCGGGAAUUCGAUUAGAGUUUGAUCCUGGCUCAGGACKAACGCUGGCGGCGUGCCUAAUACAUGCAAGUCGAGCGGACGGAAGGGAGCUUGCUCCCGGACGUCAGCGGCGGACGGGUGAGGAACACGUGGGCAAUCUGCCCAUCAGUCGGGAAUAACACUCGGAAACGGGUGCUAAUGCCGGAUAGGCAUCUUGGGGGCAUCCCUGGGAUGGGAAAGGCGCUUAGGCGCUGCUGAUGGAGGAGCCCGCGGCGCAUUAGCUGGUUGGCGGGGUAACGGCCCACCAAGGCGACGAUGCGUAGCCGACCUGAGAGGGUGACCGGCCACACUGGGACUGAGACACGGCCCAGACUCCUACGGGAGGCAGCAGUAGGGAAUCUUCCGCAAUGGGCGCAAGUCUGACGGAGCAACGCCGCGUGAGCGAAGAAGGCCUUCGGGUUGUAAAGCUCAGUCAAUCGGGAAGAGCGACCUAGGGAGGGAAUGCCCUAGGGGAGACGGUACCGAUGGAGGAAGCCCCGGCAAACUACGUGCCAGCAGCCGCGGUAAUACGUAGGGGGCGAGCGUUGUCCGGAAUGACUGGGCGUAAAGCGUGCGUAGGCGGCCUUGCGCGUCUGAGGUUUAAGACCACGGCUCAACCGUGGGGGUGCCUUGGAAACGGUGAGGCUUGAGUGCUGGAGAGGCAAGGGGAAUUCCACGUGUAGCGGUGAAAUGCGUAGAGAUGUGGAGGAAUACCUGUGGCGAAGGCGCCUUGCUGGACAGUGACUGACGCUGAGGCACGAAAGCGUGGGGAGCAAACAGGAUUAGAUACCCUGGUAGUCCACGCCGUAAACGAUGAGUGCUAGGUGUUGGGGGUGCGAGCCCUCAGUGCCGAAGGAAACCCAAUAAGCACUCCGCCUGGGGAGUACGGUCGCAAGACUGAAACUCAAGGAAUUGACGGGGCCCGCACAAGCAGUGGAGCAUGUGGUUUAAUUCGAAGCACGCGARACCUUACCAGGCUUGACAUCCCUYUGACGCACUCAGAGAUGGGUGUUCCCGUUUGGGCAGAGGAGACAGGUGGUGCAUGAUUGUCGUCAGCUCGUGUCGUGAGAUKUUGGGUAGUCCGCACGAGCGCCACCCUUGACCUGKGUUACAGCGCGUGAGGKGGGACUCMAGGKACUGCGGCSCAGCGAGGAGGCGGGAKKAMGUCAAUCAUCAKC